GUAUUAGAUACCCUGGUAGUCCACGCCGUAAACGAUGUCGAUUUGGAGGUUGUGCCCUUGAGGCGUGGCUUCCGGAGCUAACGCGUUAAAUCGACCGCCUGGGGAGUACGGCCGCAAGGUUAAAACUCAAAUGAAUUGACGGGGGCCCGCACAAGCGGUGGAGCAUGUGGUUUAAUUCGAUGCAACGCGAAGAACCUUACCUGGUCUUGACAUCCACAGAACUUCCAGAGAUGGAUUGGUGCCUUCGGGAACUGUGAGACAGGUGCUGCAUGGCUGUCGUCAGCUCGUGUUGUGAAAUGUUGGGUUAAGUCCCGCAACGAGCGCAACCCUUAUCCUUUGUUGCCAGCGGUUAGGCCGGGAACUCAAAGGAGACUGCCAGUGAUAAACUGGAGGAAGGUGGGGAUGACGUCAAGUCAUCAUGGCCCUUACGACCAGGGCUACACACGUGCUACAAUGGCAUAUACAAAGAGAAGCGACCUCGCGAGAGCAAGCGGACCUCAUAAAGUAUGUCGUAGUCCGGAUUGGAGUCUGCAACUCGACUCCAUGAAGUCGGAAUCGCUAGUAAUCGUAGAUCAGAAUGCUACGGUGAAUACGUUCCCGGGCCUUGUACACACCGCCCGUCACACCAUGGGGAGUGGGUUGCAAAAGAAGUAGGUAGCUUAACCUUCGGGAGGGCGCUUACCACUUUGUGAUUCAUGACUGGGGGUGAAGUCGUAACA
Molecule: ribosomal RNA, 719 nt
Filed under: Klebsiella pneumoniae subsp. pneumoniae
Lineage: Bacteria; Pseudomonadati; Pseudomonadota; Gammaproteobacteria; Enterobacterales; Enterobacteriaceae
Description: bacterial SSU rRNA
Rfam family: Bacterial small subunit ribosomal RNA
Source: RNAcentral